AGUGAACGCUGGCGGUAGGCCUAACACAUGCAAGUCGAACGGCAGCACAGUAAGAGCUUGCUCUUACGGGUGGCGAGUGGCGGACGGGUGAGGAAUACAUCGGAAUCUACUUUUUCGUGGGGGAUAACGUAGGGAAACUUACGCUAAUACCGCAUACGACCUACGGGUGAAAGCAGUGGAUCUUCGGACCUUUCGCGAUUGAAUGAGCCGAUGCCGGAUUAGCUAGUUGGCGGGGUAAAGGCCCACCAAGGCGACGAUCCGUAGCUGGUCUGAGAGGAUGAUCAGCCACACUGGAACUGAGACACGGUCCAGACUCCUACGGGAGGCAGCAGUAGGGAAUAUUGGACAAUGGGCGAAAGCCUGAUCCAGCCAUACCGCGUGAGUGAAGAAGGCCUUCGGGUCGUAAAGCCCUUUUGUUGGGAAAGAAAAGCAGCAGGUUAAUACCCCGCUGUUCUGACGGUACCCAAAGAAUAAGCACCGGCUAACUUCGUG
This 492-nucleotide ribosomal RNA is filed under the name uncultured bacterium. Its description in RNAcentral is "partial 16S ribosomal RNA". It matches the Rfam family "Bacterial small subunit ribosomal RNA", at positions 29 to 507 of the family's 1533-position model. The record is from RNAcentral.